Melitaea cinxia (Glanville fritillary) is the source of this 1123-nucleotide long non-coding RNA. RefSeq lists it as uncharacterized. NCBI's taxonomy places the organism in Eukaryota, Metazoa, Arthropoda, Insecta, Lepidoptera, Nymphalidae. The record is from RefSeq and is a predicted model, not a curated record. The transcript has 2 exons.
AUACAUAUCUCUACCCCUUUAGCUUGUGGCCUUUACCGAAAUAUCCUAUUACAGAGGACAGGACAAGUGAAUACACAUACAACGGUAAAACAUUAAAGAAGAUUAAGAAAGUCGAGAAAAACAAGAGAUGAAUUUGAUUAUUUACUUAUAAGUGUCUAAUAUAUUAAGUGGCAGACAGCGUAAUGUGAUAGGAUUAAUAAACUCAUAAAAAUUACUGAUUAACAUUGAAGACAUUAACAAUUUUUUUUAAAUACUUUUUUAUAUUAAUAUAACAAAAUUAGCUAUUGUAUGCUACAAAAAUGUAUCGUAAUAUUAUGUAUCUUUAAUCUUAGUGCCAUAGAAGCGAUUUAAAGAAAAAUGUAAAGUCUAGUGCUACAUUUUUGUAUUUACAUAAUAAAGGUAGUUUGUUUGUCUGUUUGUAAACAAACAUUCGAAUUACAAUGUUAUUUCGAUCCAUUACAUAGAUUCCUACAUGAAGAGAUAAGAAGAACUGCCUCUAAAUCUAAAAGCGUCUAUCAAAAGCCGUACGUACAUAGGUAGCGCUGCGGUAACCAACAACAAAUUGAAAUUAAACUUUUGACAACAGAUGGCGCUACUAUCGUUGAAGGGUACAUUUAAACUAAAGAAAUUAAAAAAAAUCGUAAUAAAAAUGGUUUCUACAAUUAUUAAUAUAUUUGCGCUUCUAGGCGAAUUUAUUUACUUGUCUAUAUUCUAUUUUGAACAGUUUUAUAACUUACCUACUUUAGUCAUAAAAAAUAUUACAGUUUCAAUGAGUCGUUCAACUCACUGAAAUUCAUUUUAAAUAUGCUCACUCAGUAUACUUAAUUCCCUUCAUAACAGCUAAGUUCAUAUCCUAGUUUAUCAAGCCAGCUCCUUUCUGAAGAAAUUUUCAUAUUUUAUUGUUGUGUCUUAUCGAUGAACACUUUGUCAACUGAUGUCCAAUAUAAUACGGUUCUCCUUAUCCCUACUUUCCAUAGUUUGUAAAUAACACAUUUAUUUUGACUUUAUUUACAACGAAUUAUCUGUACACAACUAUUUAGGUGUUAUGUAGUAGUAAUUUUUAUACAGAAUGCUGUAAUUAAUUGAUAAGUGUAAAUAAGUAUUAAAGAAGGAAAUUAAGAAA